RNAcentral lists this ribosomal RNA (465 nucleotides) under uncultured bacterium. RNAcentral describes it as "partial 16S ribosomal RNA". It matches the Rfam family "Bacterial small subunit ribosomal RNA", at positions 28 to 507 of the family's 1533-position model. The record is from RNAcentral.
GACGAACGCUGGCGGCGUGCUUAACACAUGCAAGUCGAACGGAAAGGCCCCUUUGGGGGUACUCGAGUGGCGAACGGGUGAGUAACACGUGAGUAACCUGCCCUUGACUACGGGAUAACUUCAGGAAACUGGGGCUAAUACCGGAUAGGAAUCCUUGCUGCAUGGUGGGGGUUGGAAAGCUUCGGCGGUUUUGGAUGGACUCGCGGCUUAUCAGCUUGUUGGUGGGGUAGUGGCUUACCAAGGCUUUGACGGGUAGCCGGCCUGAGAGGGCGACCGGCCACAUUGGGACUGAGAUACGGCCCAGACUCCUACGGGAGGCAGCAGUGGGGAAUAUUGCACAAUGGGCGGAAGCCUGAUGCAGCAAAGCCGCGUGCGGGAUGACGGCCUUCGGGUUGUAAACCGCUUUCAGCAGGGGCGAAGCUUGUGGUGACGGUACCUGCAGAAGAAGCACCGGCUAACUACGUG